Molecule: ribosomal RNA, 3565 nt
Filed under: Cantharellus appalachiensis
Lineage: Eukaryota; Fungi; Basidiomycota; Agaricomycetes; Cantharellales; Hydnaceae
Description: LSU rRNA
Rfam family: Bacterial large subunit ribosomal RNA
Source: RNAcentral
AAAUAAUAUUAAUUUAUUAUUUCAGUUUAAAGUUCUUAUCAAUUUUAAGCUAAAAUCUGCGAGUACUAACCUAUUCGUUUUAGGUUAAGUUGAUAGGGAGGCUUAAUUAUGUUUUAUUUUAAGAUGGCGAUCCUAAGGGAAACCUUAUUAUUAUUACUUCCUGAAACAAAACAUUGUAGUAAGGAAAGGAAAGGAAAUCAACUGAGACUCUGAAAGUAACGGCGAGUGAAAUCAGACUAGCCAAAUCUUCAAAUAUCUAAGCUAUUCUUAAUUAUACGUAGGCCGUAUAUUAAUCUCUCGCCUUCCUUCUGGGAAAGGGAGAGAUAAUAAAUAAUAUUACAGUAAUAAUAUUAUUUAACCAUAGAAGGUGAUAGUCCUGUUAUAGCUUAAAACUAAUAAUUAUCAAAAAAGUGAUAAAACUUAAUUGUAAUAUUAUUAAGAUGAUAUUGAUUGAUAUAUAAGUACAACGGAAGAUACUCUGUUGGAAUAUAAGGGGAACCAUCCUCUAAGGCUAAGUAUUAUAAAUUUAGCGAUAGUGAAUAAGUACUGUAAAGGAAAGUCAUGUUUUGAAUAAGAGUUAGUUUUAACUCUUGACUAGUUAUUCUCAAUUUUUAUUAUUGAGAUAUAUAUGUUAUAGUGAACUUAAAAAAUAAGUAUGAAAUAGUAGCUCUAUAAGCAAUUAGAAUUUAACUUAAUAUAUUAAAUGUUAAAUGAUAAUGUACCUUUUGCAUAAUGGGUCAGCAAGUUAAUAGUAGUAGCAAGGUUAAAAUCCCUAGCGAAAGCGACUGCUUCUAAUUAAGAAUCGGAUUAAGUUACUACUAUUAGACCCGAAGUGAGGUGAUCUUGCCAUGAUCAGGUUAUAAUGGACCGAACGGGUGAAUGUUGCAAUAUUCUCCGAUGAAUUGUGGUAAGUAGGUGAAAGACUAAUCAUACCUCUAUAGCUGGUUUUCCACGAAAGAUAUUUAAGUAUCACAUCAUUCAAAGUAAAAUCUAAAGAUUUAGGAGGGUACAGCACGUUGAAUUUCAGACGAAAGUCAAAUUGGGGGGCCUUGAAAUCCUACCUUUGAAAAUUAACCUCGGAAUAUCCUAAAUUGUUGAAUGAUAGUCAGACUAUUCAUGAUAAGGUGGGUAGUCAAAACGUAAACAGACGUGAGCACGUGUUUAAGGUUCCCCAAAACCGUUUAAGUGAAAUUAAGGAAGUUUUCCCCUGGAUACAACUAUUAAGUUAGCCUGGUAGUCGCGAUCUUUUAAAGAGUGUGUAACAACUCAUUAGUCUAAGUUGGGGGGGAGCGCCGAAAAUUUAACGGGUCUUAAAACGGUUACCGAUACCGUGCUAUUUUAAUUAUAAUAUUUUAGUGUAAUUGAAAUAGGUAGUGGAACAUUCAGAGCGGACGAAAAAUAGUGUUUCAUUAUUUGGACGUAACUGAAGAGAUAAUGCUGACAUGAGUAACGUAGAAAGAAGUUAUAAUACUUCUCGCCGAAUACGAAAGGGUUAUUAAGCAAGGUUAAACCUCUUAAUGUGAUAUCGGUCUCUAAGGUUAUAGACUAAUGUUUAAACUGAUGAGUGUUUGUCCAAUUUUUUCAGUUGCUUGGUGUUAAGUUAGCAAAAUUUGUUUAAUCAAUAUUUGUUAAUUACUUGAGUUUAGCUAGAAGCUUUAGCAACUGAACUUGAAGAAUAGUCGACAAUUAGGAUCGAUUAGCGUUAAUAAUGAUCGUAACUAUUUACUUUACCAACGGUAAAUGGUUAUUAUUAAUUAUUAAAAUUAUUGAAUUUAAUUAAUUAUAAUUAUUAUUAAUAUUGUUAGAUGAUAUUUUAGUUUAUAUUUAUUGGUUUAAUGGUAUUUAUUUUUAUAAAUAAUUUUUAGAUAUAAUUGAUUAUAGUACUUAUUAGCUAUGAUUAGCAAUAUUGUAGCAGGAUCCUGCAUAGUAAAAUCCUUUUUUAUAAGGAUUACUGUGAUGAAUACCGUACCCUAAACCGACACUGGUUCGUAGGUAAAGAAUACUAAGGCGAAGAGAUAAUACUUGUAAAGGAACUCGGCAAACUUUCCUCAUAAGUUAGACGACAUGAGGAGCCGUCUAAAGGACGGUGGCACAGAAUCGGAACCCCCGACUGUUUACUUAAAACACAGAUAUCUGCGAUGAUUAAAUUAUUUGUAUAGAUGUCGAAUUUUGCCCAAUGCCAUUAAUAUAACGAAGGUGAGUUUAAUUUACCGACUGAAAAUCUGGUCAAUGGCGGUCUUAACUAUAAGGAUCCAAAGGUAGCAAAAUUCAUUGUCCGCUAAAUACGGUCCUGCAUGAAUAAAGUAACGAUGGGUUCACUGUCUCUACAAGUAUCUCAGUGAAAUUGAAAUAGCCGUGCAGAUGCGGUUUGCUUAUGGUUAGACGGGAAGACCCUAUGCAACUUUACUGUAAAUUGUUAUCAUGUUUUUUUAAUAUAGGUGUAGCAAUAUAAGGCAAUCGACAAGAUAAAAGUGAAAGACCUUAACUAUUAUUAAUUAAAUAUUAACCCCGAGUCCCUUAAUGGGAGGCAAGGAACGCUGUUAUUAAUUAGUAUGAAACUAGUUAUAAAUACCUUAUUUAAUAAUAGCAAAAAUGUGAGGGAGAUAUAUGACAAUUUGGCAGUUUGUCUGGGGCGGACGUCUUUAAUAGAGUAUCAAAGACACCCAAAAUUUAAUUAUAUUGUUAUAUUUUUAUCUUUCACCUAUCACCUUGUCACCCAUCUAAAGAUGUAAGGUGUCACCUGUCAUCUUUAGAUGGGUGUGUGUGUGUGGGAAAGAAUAUUAAUAAACAUAACAAUAUUUUUAUUAUGUAAAGUUAAAAUUUUUAAAGGUUUGCUAAAAUCGGAUGGAGACCGAUUAACUAUGUAUGGUUAAGAAGGUGUAAUGGCUAAAGCAAGCUUGACUGAGUGACCGAUAAGUCAAACAGAUACGUAAGUAGGGCAUAGUGACCCGGCGAUAUAUUAUGGAAUAGUCGUCGAUAAAUAGAUAAAAGUUACGCUAGGGAUAACAGGUUAGUCGCGGUUGAGAGUUCAUAUGGACACCGCGGUUCGACACCUCGAUGUCGACUCAUCCUAUCCUCCGGGUGUAGGUGCUUGGAAGGGUUCGGCUGUUCGCCGAUUAAAAGGGUACGUGAGUUGGGUUCGUUAAUACGACGUGAGUCAGUAUGGAUCCUAUCUUCCAUAAGGAAAAAAAGUCAAAGGGGAAGGGCCUCUCAGUACGAAAGGAUCAGAUGGCUGUGUUUCUAUAGUGUACCAAUUGUUUGAUCGGUAUUAGUUUAAGUUAAUUGUAAUAUUUAUUAGUUUAAGGCUUUAAGCUAAAUAACUCACUAUUAAAUAGAGCGUUAAAAUUCUAGUAUGCUUGUAAUUAAUAAGUUUAAAUUAUUUAAUAUAGGUUAUCUAAUUAAUAAUUUUACAAAUAAUUUAUACAAAGUAGAAGAUCUGGCAUCGUUGGGUAGCCACAAACAUAACGGAUAAGAGCUGAAAGCAUAUUAAGCACGAAACCGUUCCCUAGAGACUAAUAAAAACAAUUUAUAAUUAGCUGAUAAAUUAUAUAAUCUAAUAUUAUUC